UUUUGCCCAGGUCCAUGCCAUCAACAUCUGUAAAACAAUAUUCAUAUGAGUAAAAAUCCCAAGCCCCUAAAUCUCAGACUUGAAGCUGAAGAUGAUGGCAACCCAGAAACACCAAGAGGUCCAGACAGACAAAGCACCAACGAAAGGCUGUUCUCUCCAGCUAAAGGACCAGGAAAGGAGCUGCCUCUGCAAGACAGAAAAUGUUUAGACAAUGGCUGCGCUACUUUAGCCAACCACCACAGAAAACACUUUGACUUCGCUCUCACCCACGUUAAGAUCUUGUGGGGAGCCCAGAAUUUCACCCUGUGAGGCUGUAACAAGUUUCUCCAAUACUCCCACUAGGGUGGUGUCAGAGAGACCGAGUGGGAAGUUGGGACUUUCAUUCCUUUUGGCCAGUAACUAGCUCCUUGUCUCCGCAGUCUUAGUGAAGACUACGUGGGAGUCUGAACUCCUGUCCUCUCCCAGCAAUAACAAAGAGGCUCCCCUCAAGUUUCAGUGGAGCCAAAUAGGGAACCCAGACUUCUACAUUCACCUGCAGUAAUGAGUUGGCACUCCUGCUGGAGCAGUGUCAGAUAAGAACAGAUGAAAAAGAAGGUUUAUUUAAAGAGCAAGCAUCUCAGAACAUAAUGUGAAAAUGUCCAGGCUUAAAUUGAAAAUCACUUAUAUAUAUUAUGAAAAUCACUUAUACAAAGAACUAGAAAAAUCUCAAACUGAAUGAAAAAUUAAAAAAAAAAUCAAAUGCCAACACUGGGAUGACUGAGAUAUUAAAACUAUCUGACAAAUAUUUUAAAGUACCCAUAAUUUAAAACAAUGCUUCAGAAAGCAGUUAGGAAACCACUUGAAACAAAUUCUUUAAAUGGAAAGGUUUUUUUUUUUUUUGCCAAUGACUCCAUCAGCAGCAGCAAAAAAAAAAAAAAAAAAAAUCUCAGUCGAGAAAUAAAAGAUAUAAAGAACAAAACAAAAAUUUUAGAACUCAAAAUAUAAUAACCUGAGUAAAAAGCUCAGUGAAUGGGCUCAAUAGUAAAAUAGAGGGGGCAAAUGAGAAAAAUCACUUAGCUGUUAGAAUAGAAUUUCCCCAAUAAGACCAACACAGAGAAAAAUAGACUUGAAAACAAAUGAACGAGGUAUUCUUAGGGAUUCAUGGGACUCUAAUAAAAGAUAUAGCAUUCAUGUCAUUGAAGUUCCAGAAGGAGAGGAAAAAUAAGGGGAGGCUGGAAAAGUACUUAAAGAAAUCACGGCUGAAAAAUGUCCUAAAGUUGACAAGAGAUAUAAACUUACAGAUUCGAGAAGCUAAGAGAACCCUAAACAUAAUAAACCUGAAUAACUCACAACAAGACUUAUAAUUAAGCUUCUGAAAACUAAAGACAAAGAGAAAAUAUUGAAAGCCACCAGAGGAAAACAACUUACUUAUAUAAGGGGAAAAUAACUAGAAUAAUAGUGGAUUUCUCAUCAGAAACCAUGGAGGCCAAAAGGAAGUUGUACCAUAUUUUUCUAGGUGCUGCAAGAAAAGAAUUGUCAACCCAGAAUCCCAUACCCAGUGAAAUAUAUCCUGCAAGAAAUAAAGGGGAACUUGAGACAUCCUCAGAUGAAGGAAAACUAAGAGAAUUUGUUGCCUGAAAGCCUACCCUAAAAGAAUGACUAAAUGAAGUUUUCUUAAAACAGAAAGGAAACAAUAAAAGAAGGAAGCCUGGAACAUCAGAGAUAAAGAAGGUAUAUAGUAAGCAGAAAUAUAGCUAUAUACAAUAGGCUUCCCUUCUCCUCUUGGGCUUUCUAAAUUAUAUUUUAUUGUAGAAGCCAAAAUUAUAAUACUGAC
This 1813-nucleotide long non-coding RNA is filed under the name Homo sapiens (human). RNAcentral describes it as "HSALNT0076847". Lineage: Eukaryota; Metazoa; Chordata; Mammalia; Primates; Hominidae. The record is from RNAcentral.